ACCCACCAGCCUAAAUAUUUCAUUUCCUUAUAUUUUUGGUUUUUUUCUUUCUUGCAAAAGUCAAAAGAGGAGAAAUUAAGAUGUAUUUUGGCAGUGAAUUCCCACAUUUUCUACAGAGAAGUGCAUUACCACGUAUACCAACAGCAGCAGUAGUUGUAUAGUAGGGGUGGAGGUGGUGGCAGCUGCUUCUUAUUGCAAACAACUUAUAGGUAUUGCAAUUGGUUUGAUCGUAAACAAUGGAAGCUCCAAAAAGAUUUCAAAGAGAGACUUAAGAGUAGAAGCUUUUUGGCCAGAUAUGACAAGACCUACUACCAUAUAUAGAGAUGGAACCCAUCAACGAUUCUAAGCAGCUCGAUCAGAUUCUACUCCAGGCUCAUAACAUCUCUCAGCCCAUUCUCAUUGACUGGUAUCAACUAUGGGUUUGUGCUUCUAAUAUAUAGGAUGACAGCUAGGUGCCGGAAAUGCAUCCAUUUGAAGCCCAAGUUGGAGAAAUUAGCUGCUGAAUAUGAUACCAAGUAACCCUUCUCUCCCUCUAGCUCUCCUGUGUGCUUAAUGCAAAUUGGUGGGUUAACAAUAGAUUUCAUAUAAAAAUUUUACAUAUAUGAAUACAUAGGAUCAAGUUUUACUCUGUGGAUGUCAACAAGGUACCUUAAUCUCUAGUCAAGAGAGGAAACAUAUCUGUAUGUUUGAUAAUUCUCACCUCUCUAUUAAUUAAUUAUUUCCUUCUAAUUAUGAUCAUUAAAUAAGUUUUCUUCUUCUAAUGAUCUUUGUUUUCUUUCUUCUCUCUGCCAGAAGAUGCCUACAAUUCAGCUAUGGACGGAUGGAGAGAUGAAAGCAUAAGUAAUUGGAGGAGCUUGUGAUUGAACAAGUGAGAGAAAUUAUCCAAAAAUUCAUAUGAUACAUGUAAUGUAUGGUUUCCUGAUUUAAGCUUGUAAUCAUGAUUAUGUGCAUUAGUCUCAAUUCCAUUCCAUCUUCUUUACAAGGG
This is a long non-coding RNA of Hevea brasiliensis (rubber tree), 985 nucleotides long. RefSeq lists it as uncharacterized. The transcript is spliced from 3 exons. NCBI's taxonomy places the organism in Eukaryota, Viridiplantae, Streptophyta, Magnoliopsida, Malpighiales, Euphorbiaceae. The record is from RefSeq and is a predicted model, not a curated record.